RNAcentral lists this ribosomal RNA (2903 nucleotides) under Escherichia coli. RNAcentral describes it as "23S ribosomal RNA". It matches the Rfam family "Bacterial large subunit ribosomal RNA". The record is from RNAcentral. Lineage: Bacteria; Pseudomonadati; Pseudomonadota; Gammaproteobacteria; Enterobacterales; Enterobacteriaceae.
GGUUAAGCGACUAAGCGUACACGGUGGAUGCCCUGGCAGUCAGAGGCGAUGAAGGACGUGCUAAUCUGCGAUAAGCGUCGGUAAGGUGAUAUGAACCGUUAUAACCGGCGAUUUCCGAAUGGGGAAACCCAGUGUGAUUCGUCACACUAUCAUUAACUGAAUCCAUAGGUUAAUGAGGCGAACCGGGGGAACUGAAACAUCUAAGUACCCCGAGGAAAAGAAAUCAACCGAGAUUCCCCCAGUAGCGGCGAGCGAACGGGGAGCAGCCCAGAGCCUGAAUCAGUGUGUGUGUUAGUGGAAGCGUCUGGAAAGGCGUGCGAUACAGGGUGACAGCCCCGUACACAAAAAUGCACAUACUGUGAGCUCGAUGAGUAGGGCGGGACACGUGGUAUCCUGUCUGAAUAUGGGGGGACCAUCCUCCAAGGCUAAAUACUCCUGACUGACCGAUAGUGAACCAGUACCGUGAGGGAAAGGCGAAAAGAACCCCGGCGAGGGGAGUGAAAAAGAACCUGAAACCGUGUACGUACAAGCAGUGGGAGCACGCUUAGGCGUGUGACUGCGUACCUUUUGUAUAAUGGGUCAGCGACUUAUAUUCUGUAGCAAGGUUAACCGAAUAGGGGAGCCGAAGGGAAACCGAGUCUUAACUGGGCGUUAAGUUGCAGGGUAUAGACCCGAAACCCGGUGAUCUAGCCAUGGGCAGGUUGAAGGUUGGGUAACACUAACUGGAGGACCGAACCGACUAAUGUUGAAAAAUUAGCGGAUGACUUGUGGCUGGGGGUGAAAGGCCAAUCAAACCGGGAGAUAGCUGGUUCUCCCCGAAAGCUAUUUAGGUAGCGCCUCGUGAAUUCAUCUCCGGGGGUAGAGCACUGUUUCGGCAAGGGGGUCAUCCCGACUUACCAACCCGAUGCAAACUGCGAAUACCGGAGAAUGUUAUCACGGGAGACACACGGCGGGUGCUAACGUCCGUCGUGAAGAGGGAAACAACCCAGACCGCCAGCUAAGGUCCCAAAGUCAUGGUUAAGUGGGAAACGAUGUGGGAAGGCCCAGACAGCCAGGAUGUUGGCUUAGAAGCAGCCAUCAUUUAAAGAAAGCGUAAUAGCUCACUGGUCGAGUCGGCCUGCGCGGAAGAUGUAACGGGGCUAAACCAUGCACCGAAGCUGCGGCAGCGACACUAUGUGUUGUUGGGUAGGGGAGCGUUCUGUAAGCCUGCGAAGGUGUGCUGUGAGGCAUGCUGGAGGUAUCAGAAGUGCGAAUGCUGACAUAAGUAACGAUAAAGCGGGUGAAAAGCCCGCUCGCCGGAAGACCAAGGGUUCCUGUCCAACGUUAAUCGGGGCAGGGUGAGUCGACCCCUAAGGCGAGGCCGAAAGGCGUAGUCGAUGGGAAACAGGUUAAUAUUCCUGUACUUGGUGUUACUGCGAAGGGGGGACGGAGAAGGCUAUGUUGGCCGGGCGACGGUUGUCCCGGUUUAAGCGUGUAGGCUGGUUUUCCAGGCAAAUCCGGAAAAUCAAGGCUGAGGCGUGAUGACGAGGCACUACGGUGCUGAAGCAACAAAUGCCCUGCUUCCAGGAAAAGCCUCUAAGCAUCAGGUAACAUCAAAUCGUACCCCAAACCGACACAGGUGGUCAGGUAGAGAAUACCAAGGCGCUUGAGAGAACUCGGGUGAAGGAACUAGGCAAAAUGGUGCCGUAACUUCGGGAGAAGGCACGCUGAUAUGUAGGUGAAGCGACUUGCUCGUGGAGCUGAAAUCAGUCGAAGAUACCAGCUGGCUGCAACUGUUUAUUAAAAACACAGCACUGUGCAAACACGAAAGUGGACGUAUACGGUGUGACGCCUGCCCGGUGCCGGAAGGUUAAUUGAUGGGGUCAGCGCAAGCGAAGCUCUUGAUCGAAGCCCCGGUAAACGGCGGCCGUAACUAUAACGGUCCUAAGGUAGCGAAAUUCCUUGUCGGGUAAGUUCCGACCUGCACGAAUGGCGUAAUGAUGGCCAGGCUGUCUCCACCCGAGACUCAGUGAAAUUGAACUCGCUGUGAAGAUGCAGUGUACCCGCGGCAAGACGGAAAGACCCCGUGAACCUUUACUAUAGCUUGACACUGAACAUUGAGCCUUGAUGUGUAGGAUAGGUGGGAGGCUUUGAAGUGUGGACGCCAGUCUGCAUGGAGCCGACCUUGAAAUACCACCCUUUAAUGUUUGAUGUUCUAACGUUGACCCGUAAUCCGGGUUGCGGACAGUGUCUGGUGGGUAGUUUGACUGGGGCGGUCUCCUCCUAAAGAGUAACGGAGGAGCACGAAGGUUGGCUAAUCCUGGUCGGACAUCAGGAGGUUAGUGCAAUGGCAUAAGCCAGCUUGACUGCGAGCGUGACGGCGCGAGCAGGUGCGAAAGCAGGUCAUAGUGAUCCGGUGGUUCUGAAUGGAAGGGCCAUCGCUCAACGGAUAAAAGGUACUCCGGGGAUAACAGGCUGAUACCGCCCAAGAGUUCAUAUCGACGGCGGUGUUUGGCACCUCGAUGUCGGCUCAUCACAUCCUGGGGCUGAAGUAGGUCCCAAGGGUAUGGCUGUUCGCCAUUUAAAGUGGUACGCGAGCUGGGUUUAGAACGUCGUGAGACAGUUCGGUCCCUAUCUGCCGUGGGCGCUGGAGAACUGAGGGGGGCUGCUCCUAGUACGAGAGGACCGGAGUGGACGCAUCACUGGUGUUCGGGUUGUCAUGCCAAUGGCACUGCCCGGUAGCUAAAUGCGGAAGAGAUAAGUGCUGAAAGCAUCUAAGCACGAAACUUGCCCCGAGAUGAGUUCUCCCUGACUCCUUGAGAGUCCUGAAGGAACGUUGAAGACGACGACGUUGAUAGGCCGGGUGUGUAAGCGCAGCGAUGCGUUGAGCUAACCGGUACUAAUGAACCGUGAGGCUUAACCUU